UACGUAGGGUGCGAGCGUUAAUCGGAAUUACUGGGCGUAAAGCGUGCGCAGGCGGUUUGCCGUGUCCGAUGUGAAAGCCCCGGGCUUAACCUGGGAAUGGCAUUGGAAACUGGCUGGCUGGAGUGUGGCAGAGGGGGGUGGAAUUCCACGUGUAGCAGUGAAAUGCGUAGAGAUGUGGAGGAACACCGAUGGCGAAGGCAGCCCCCUGGGUCAAGAUUGACGCUCAUGCACGAAAGCGUGGGGAGCAAACAGG
This 253-nucleotide ribosomal RNA is filed under the name uncultured bacterium. RNAcentral's name for it is "partial 16S ribosomal RNA". It matches the Rfam family "Bacterial small subunit ribosomal RNA", at positions 524 to 776 of the family's 1533-position model. The record is from RNAcentral.